Molecule: small nuclear RNA, 107 nt
Filed under: Dasypus novemcinctus (nine-banded armadillo)
Lineage: Eukaryota; Metazoa; Chordata; Mammalia; Cingulata; Dasypodidae
Source: RNAcentral
GUGCUCACUUCGGCAGCACAUAUACUAAAAUUGGAACAGUACAGAAAAGAUUAGCAUGGCCCCUGCACAAGGAUGACACACAAAUUUGUGAAGCAUUCCAUAUUUUU